UGUAAUUAAGUGUAAUUGUAGCAUGUAAUAUUUUGAAUAUUAAGGAAGAGUUAAAAUCUCUAAAUUUGCAA
Molecule: transfer RNA, 71 nt
Filed under: Darthula hardwickii
Lineage: Eukaryota; Metazoa; Arthropoda; Insecta; Hemiptera; Aetalionidae
Description: tRNA-Gln
Source: RNAcentral